Molecule: long non-coding RNA, 3179 nt
Filed under: Marmota monax (woodchuck)
Lineage: Eukaryota; Metazoa; Chordata; Mammalia; Rodentia; Sciuridae
Source: RNAcentral
UGGGGUGGGGGUGACACUGUUCUACUACAUUCUGGCAUCAGACGCCUGUCUUCAAGAGUGAAGCCACUCUGCCACUAUCUAAAACUAUGUUCUGUUUAUUAUUUUUGAAAGAGGUUUUUAAAAGCAUGUUCUGAUAAGCUUGGAUUUAUCCUUGGAAAGGGAAUUUGGGUUCUGUUAUAAGACAGUAGCUUAGUGUCAGAUGCAGGUUGUAUCAAUUAUGUGUAGCUAUUAGUAAAUAGCAGAUAAAAGAAGCUAGGAGAUGUUCCUAAAAGGGUGGGUGGGGGAAAAGAAAAACAAACAUGUUUUCUCUGCCUACAGAAAAUGAACCAGUGGGGCAGAGGUGCAUGCCUGUAAUCCCAGAGACUUGUGAGGCCAAAGCAGGAGGAUGACAAAUUUGAGGCCAGCCUGGGCAACUUAGUGAGACCUGGUUUCAAAAUAAAGCAAGCAAGCAAGUAAACAAAAAAGGCAGAGAUGUAGUUCAGUGGUAGAGCACUUGUCUAGCAUGUACAAAACUCUAGAUUUGAUCCCAGUGACACACAUAUACACACACAUACACAAAAUGAAAACAGCUAGCAAACAACUAGAAACAGAAGAUAGAAGUUAUCCUUCCCCAAAUGGAUAUCAGCCAAACAGAGUAAAUAAUUUGAUGAUGAUGAUAACAGCAAUUAAACAAUAAGGUAGCAAGUGUUAGGUCCUUAGGCCAAAGUAACUCCAUUUUGAAAAUCAGCACAUGCCCACCCAGUCAUGACCUAGGAAACAAACAAACAAACAAAAACGAAAAACCAACAACAAGAGUGUUGAUCUCAAGCUAUGCUUCAGCCUCAAAGAACACGUUUAUGAUCCAAGGGAUUUUAACUACAAUAAUAAGACUUUAGGGUGAGUGGAACAAAUAAAACCAGAACAAAAAAAUUAAGAUUAGAUUAAGAUGUGAUUGAGGAUGUUUAAUAAUUAGUGAGAAAGAUACAAAAAUUGUACCUAUUCUUUCACUACCUUCACUCCUUUAAAAUUUUUAAAAAAUCAAGAGCCGUCUGUAUUGUAAAAAUAAAAUAAAAAUACAGGUGCUGAGUAUUGAAUCCAGAGACCCGUGCAUGCCAGGCGAGCGCGCUUGAGCCACAUCCCCAGCCCACUACCUUCACUCUUGAUCUAAUCAUCCAUAAAACAAAACAAAACAAACACACACACUCUCUCUCUCUCUCUCUCUCUCUCUCUCUCUCUCUCUCUCUCUCUCUCUCUCUCACACACACACACACACACACACACACACACAGAGUUAAGGGCCGCAUUCUUAUGUAAAUAUACAACAGAGCCAAAGAAUCUGUAGUGUUCUGUUUGGUUCAUACUUGGGAUGCUUGGCCAGAAGGGCCAUCUAUUCCUUGAGUGUAUUGUAGGGUGAAGAAUGCAAGGGACUUCCCAGACAUUACCAGUGGGAAGCCAGAGCUACAAGAGGGCAGUACAAGUUAUGUUCUGCUUUGUCUUAGAUUUAACAGAGGUGUUGCUAGACGUUUACAAUAGAUGCUUCUAUUUUGCAGAUGAGAAAACAUAAUCAAAACCAGAGAAAGAACAGAGUCACGAUUCCCAAACUGUACUAAGGUUCCUGAGAAAUCACAGCAAAUUUCACAGGAAUCUCAGGGAGACCCAGGAGUCCAGGGAAAGAGGAAUUCUUGAUACCUGCUGAAAAUCAAAUGAACUCCUAGCUCAAGGUGGCUCAUAAUUUCAACAUGAGUAUUCCCCAGUUGUUAUAGAAUGCAAGUACCAAGCAGAAUUCAGUGUGGAACCAGACCGCACAGGUUCCAAGACUUGAGAAAAUAUUCAGUAACCAAGUGGCACACACAUCCUUUCCUAAGUAACUGGAAUUAUUUAAGAAUAAAAUAAAAAACACUUUUUUCUUUCGAUUUAUGUGGAUUAUUAUUUUUUCAAAUAGCUCAGUUGUGGGAUUUAACUACCGGAUAAAUGAAAUUUCUGUUAGGUGUUUCUUUUGGCCCACGUCUCUGUGGGAAAAUUAUAGGGACAAUAAAAUGCUGUGAAUUAGGAAGUUUGGGAACUCUGGAGCAGAGUAAUUUGAAUUGUAUCCAAUGGAGCAAAGAUGGAUUUAACGGUUCAGGCUCAGAAUAAAAAAGCAGUAAGAUCCUCCCUUCCCCAUGCCAGCCAGGUCACUGAUCCCAGUAUUUUCCUCAGUUCCCACAUAAAAUAAGCAUUCUUAGUAUGAUUCUUUUUUUUUUAUUAAUGCAACUAUUGGAUAGGCUAUUUUUUCCACACUAUUAUUACAUUAUAGUUGUACAUAAUGGUGGAAUUUGUUGUUACAUAUUUGUACAUGUACACAAUAUAACAAUAUAAUCUGUUUAAUAUCAUUCCUCAGUAUUUGUCUUCUCCCUUUUCUGGUCCCUUUCUUCUAUUCUAUUGAUGCCCCUUUGAUUUUCAUAAGAUCUCCCUGCCCCCCACCCCAUUCUUUUCCUUUUCCUAUCUUCCAUAUAUGAGAGAAAACAUCCUUGGUAGGCUAUUAAAAGUUAUCUUGCAUAAUGCUUCCCAAAUUAUCUCCAGUGAAAGCCUUUUUUGUUUGUUUGUUUCUAAUCUAUCAUGGGCUAGGUGAUGGUUAAUUUUAUGUGUCAACUUGGCUGGGCCUUGAUAACCAGAUAUUAGUUCAAAUAUUAUUCUGGAUGUUUUUGAGAAUGUAUUUUUGGGAUGAGAUUAACAUUUAAAUCAGUAGACUUUGAGUAAAGCAGACUACUUUCUCUCAUAUGGGUGGGUCUCAUCUAAUCAGUUGAAUAUUUUAGUACAACAAAGACAUCGCCCCCGAGCAAGAAGAAAUUCUGCAAGCAGAUUGUAUUUGGACUCUGCAUCUCUUUAUUGAAUCUACAGCCUACUGGCCUACCCCUUCAGAUUCUGGACUCACUAAGCCUCCUCAAUUGUAUGAGCCAAUUCCUUAAAAUAAAUCUCUGUUUUUCUCUCUUUAUACACAUAUAUCCUGUUCUCUGGAGAACCCUAAUAUAGACUGAUGCUUUUUAAAAAAGCAGUAAAAAUGAAUUUCUACAAAAAGGAUCAUAUACUUAAAACUGUAGAAACAUCAAAUUAUUAUGAGUUCCUAAAUGCUUGUUUUCAGUUUUCAUAUUUUGCCAGAUUUUUUUUUGUGAUAAAAAAGAGGUUGUGGAACACAGAAUGAGUUUUAUUAGCAUUGAACUAAU